Molecule: ribosomal RNA, 1439 nt
Filed under: uncultured organism
Description: 16S ribosomal RNA
Rfam family: Bacterial small subunit ribosomal RNA
Source: RNAcentral
CAGGCUUAACACAUGCAAGUCGAGGGGCAGCAUGGUCUUAGCUUGCUAAGGCCGAUGGCGACCGGCGCACGGGUGAGUAACACGUAUCCAACCUGCCGUCUACUCUUGGACAGCCUUCUGAAAGGAAGAUUAAUACAAGAUGGCAUCAUGAGUCCGCAUGUUCACAUGAUUAAAGGUAUUCCGGUAGACGAUGGGGAUGCGUUCCAUUAGAUAGUAGGCGGGGUAACGGCCCACCUAGUCUUCGAUGGAUAGGGGUUCUGAGAGGAAGGUCCCCCACAUUGGAACUGAGACACGGUCCAAACUCCUACGGGAGGCAGCAGUGAGGAAUAUUGGUCAAUGGGCGAGAGCCUGAACCAGCCAAGUAGCGUGAAGGAUGACUGCCCUAUGGGUUGUAAACUUCUUUUAUAAAGGAAUAAAGUCGGGUAUGGAUACCCGUUUGCAUGUACUUUAUGAAUAAGGAUCGGCUAACUCCGUGCCAGCAGCCGCGGUAAUACGGAGGAUCCGAGCGUUAUCCGGAUUUAUUGGGUUUAAAGGGAGCGUAGAUGGAUGUUUAAGUCAGUUGUGAAAGUUUGCGGCUCAACCGUAAAAUUGCAGUUGAUACUGGAUAUCUUGAGUGCAGUUGAGGCAGGCGGAAUUCGUGGUGUAGCGGUGAAAUGCUUAGAUAUCACGAAGAACUCCGAUUGCGAAGGCAGCCUGCUAAGCUGCAACUGACAUUGAGGCUCGAAAGUGUGGGUAUCAAACAGGAUUAGAUACCCUGGUAGUCCACACGGUAAACGAUGAAUACUCGCUGUUUGCGAUAUACUGCAAGCGGCCAAGCGAAAGCGUUAAGUAUUCCACCUGGGGAGUACGCCGGCAACGGUGAAACUCAAAGGAAUUGACGGGGGCCCGCACAAGCGGAGGAACAUGUGGUUUAAUUCGAUGAUACGCGAGGAACCUUACCCGGGCUUAAAUUGCAGAUGAAUUACGGUGAAAGCCGUAAGCCGCAAGGCAUCUGUGAAGGUGCUGCAUGGUUGUCGUCAGCUCGUGCCGUGAGGUGUCGGCUUAAGUGCCAUAACGAGUGCAACCCUUGUUGUCAGUUACUAACAGGUUCCGCUGAGGACUCUGACAAGACCGCCAUCGUAAGAUGUGAGGAAGGUGGGGAUGACGUCAAAUCAGCACGGCCCUUACGUCCGGGGCUACACACGUGUUACAAUGGGGGGUACAGAGGGCCGCUACCACGCGAGUGGAUGCCAAUCCCCAAAACCUCUCUCAGUUCGGACUGGAGUCUGCAACCCGACUCCACGAAGCUGGAUUCGCUAGUAAUCGCGCAUCAGCCACGGCGCGGUGAAUACGUUCCCGGGCCUUGUACACACCGCCCGUCAAGCCAUGGGAGCCGGGGGUACCUGAAGUGCGUAACCGCGAGGAGCGCCCUAGGGUAAAACUGGUGACUGGGGCUAAGU